This 1709-nucleotide long non-coding RNA is filed under the name Hordeum vulgare. RNAcentral describes it as "long non-coding RNA (HVUL_LNC019451)". Lineage: Eukaryota; Viridiplantae; Streptophyta; Magnoliopsida; Poales; Poaceae. The record is from RNAcentral.
UUCUUUCCCCCAUCGCGCUGCCAGCCUCAUCUCCCUCCUUCGUUUCCCCUCUGCAAGGUAAGGUUCAAAGGUUCAGGCAGAGAGACAGGUCGUCGAUCCCCGCCGUUCCCUCACCGCCGGUAGCCCCUCCGUGGAGGCCAAGGUGGUAGGGAGGAUGCUGGAUCCUCCCUCGUUCCAUUCCCGCCGCUAGGGAGCCGGAUCCCCUCCUCUGUUGUCUCCUCCACGUCGGCUUCGUCGGAGCGGAGCGGAGCAGUGGUCGUUGCCGGUCGCCCCGCCUGUUCUUCCUCUUCUCUGUAGCCAAGCGCGUCUCCAAGACCUCCAGGGUGAGCGCCUUGUCCUCCUCUUCCAUCCCCGCGCUUAAGGUCUCCCCUCUGCGAGUGGUGGUCGCCGGCAUCGAGCUCCUCUUGGCCGGUGUAGCAGCUCCGUCAAGCCGCCGCCGUGGGCUUCCUCCGGGUGAGUUAACCCCGGGAAUGGAACUCCGAAGGACCCGUUUCCCUCGUGUGGUGCUUAGUUGAUCGUUUAGGCGCCGGAGGGCACGACAGCAUCGUUCCCUGUCCAGGCGGCGCUGCUCUGCUCUGUUGCUUAGCAGCAGUAGCAUCAGUUGAGAGGAUAGCAGUAGCAUCAGUUGAGAGGAUAGCAGUAGCAUCAGUUUUGGUAGUUAGCAGUAGCAGCGGUUCCGGUAGCGGCAGGAGCUUGUUGUAACGACAGCAGUAGUAGAUCGUGGCAGCAGUGCGGCUGCUCGAGAGCGCGUGUCCGUGCUAGCGUUCCCUCUGGAGUGCUUGCAUGCGUGCACGUGUGCGAGUCUGAGCAGAACGAUGGCGACGCGCGUGGUAUUUUCAUCUGGAGAGGAGCCCGUUUUUGGGCAGAUUCCCCCUCCUAGUCCGACUGGUUCGAGGGUUCGAUCAGCCCAGGCGCCCCUUUUGUUUCGUCAGUUUUUUACCCUGUUUACGCUAGGAUUCAAAGCAGGUCGAGUUACCUGAUUCGUAGUCUCUGUUUGAUCAGCUAACUGGGCUUAGCCCAGUGGUAGCUGGCGAGGUGUGUAGCAGGAGGGAGUGGGUUUGAUCCCCACUCUGGCUGUUUGAUUUUUUUUCUCCUGACUAUAACAGUGUGUGUAGCAGUGUGUGUUUGUGUGUAUGACAGUAGCCCCCUGGCCCACAUGUCAUACAGUGAGGGGCCACUGCCUGGUGGGACCCCCUGCUCAUUAUUUUUCUGUGUGUAUUUGUUUAUUUUGUUGGUGAUAUUCCUGGUGCCAAAAGGGCAUAUUUCUAUUCCUGGAAAUGUCCAAAUCUGGACUUGCCAAUUUGGGCAGUCUCAAGAACAGUUUCUGGUCUUGAAAUGAUGUUGUAGUUGAUCCUAUGUCAGAUUCUUUUCCCUGUUUGUGGUGUUUUUCUAGAUGCAAAGGUGGCACUGUGAUAUAUUGAUUUGGGGUAGAAAAUCCCAGUGAAUCCAACGAUGCUAUUAGUUUCUGGUUUUGGACUUCUCUGUAGAAAUUACCUUUUGGUGAGGUGGCAAUAGUUAUCGAUGUAGGGUUUUUUAUGUGCUUGUUUGGAGCAGUGCAUGCGUGCAUAUUGUUGUCUGUUGCAUCAUUUGCUUCUGGUGUUUAUUAGGUCUUGUUUCUUUGGGUAGCAACCGGGGACGAAACGAGUACGAGGAGACUGGAGAGUUCGUGCAGGAAGAAUAAGAGAAGUUCCAGUCUGAAGAGAUCUCAG